GGGUAGUUUCGAGAGCCAAGUGAUAAUUUGACAAGGCUUCUCCACCACAAGCAUGGAAAAACACAUGAAAACCCAACGUAUCAACUCUCUGGCCUUGGUAUCUAUAUUGUCAAGACAUUUUGGGGCUAACACAUUACAUUGGAGGUUGUGUCAGUAUUUCCAUGGGUAAUUUCAAGAGCCUAGUGAUAGUUUGACAAGGCUUCUCCACCACAAACAUGAAAAAAAACACUCAUGGAAACCCAACGUAUCUACUCUCUAUGGCCUUGGUAUCUAUAUUCUCAAGACAUUUUGGGGCUAACACAUUACAUUGGAAGUUGUGUCAGUAUUUCCAUGGGUAGUUUCGAGAGCCUAGUGAUAAUUUGACAAAGCUUCUCCACCACAAGCAUGGAAAAACACAUGAAAACCUGACGUAUCAACUCUCUGGCCUUGGGAUCUACAUUCUCAGACAUUUCGGAGCUUACACACCACACUGGAUGUUGUGUCAGUAUUUCCAUGGGUAGUUUCAAGAGCCUAGUAAUAGUUUGACAAGGCUUCUGCACCACAAUCAUGAAAAAACACAUAUGAAAACCCAAUGUAUCUACUCUCUGGCCUUGGGAUCUACAUUCUCAGACAUUUCGGAGCUUACACACCACACUGGAUGUUGUGUCAGUAUUUCCAUGGGUAGUUUCAAGAGCCUAGUAAUAGUUUGACAAGGCUUCUGCACCACAAACAUGAAAAAACACACAUGAAAAGCCAACUUAUCUACUUUCUGGCCUUGGGAAAUAGGUGCUGUGAGAGUCGAAAGCAUCUGAGAAUAUGGACAUGAAAACCUCGGACAUCAGAAAUAAACCACAAAAAGUCUUGAAAAUGGAUCUUGUAUGGAAACUGCUACAGCUUUAAAGGAAAUGUGUGUGUGAGAACUAGACACUCACUUCAAAACACGAUAUUGAGAAACGUAGACAACAAAAAUAAAUAAUAAUGUGUAUCUGAGAACCAUAUCCAUUGCCAUAUGUGUGAUAUUGGCAAACACGGACAUAAAAAAAAAAAAUAAUAAUAAUAAUAAUGUGCAUCUGAGAACUAUAUCCGUUUCCACACGUGUGAUAUUGGCAAACAUGGACAUAAAAAAUAUAAUAAUAAUGUGAAUCUGAGAACCACAUCCGUUUCUAUACGUGUGAUAUUGACAAACACGGACAUAAAAAAAUAUUAUAAUAAUGUGCGUCAGAGAACUAUGUCCGUUUCCAUACAUGUGAUAUUGACAAACAUGAAAAAAAAUAAAUAAAUAAAUAAAUAAAUAAUAAUAAUAAUAAUAAUAAUAAUAAUAAUAAUAAUAAUAAUAAUAAUAAUAAUAACAGUGAUCAUGCGAAACAAAAAUACGUGGAUUGACAACACAUACCCCUUCUCUUAAUCAAACCAAACUGUCUUCACGGUAAUCAUACACUCGUAGCAGAACGUAGCAAAAAGAAAAAAAAAGUCAAACUGGUGCAUAGACUUAACGAAUCACUACUACGGGAGGUCAACGAUCGACACUAAUAUACACGGCACAAAAUAAUUUACUCCUUGGAAUGAUACGUUAAACUGGUCCCAAAAACAUGACAAUAGACAGACGGAAUGUGAUCGACCGAUAUCGUAAAAGUGUGUGUUGAGCUCGGAGUCGGGAGGCCACUCUGAGAGACUUAAGAAUCACAUACUAAUCGUUUUCUUCCUCUUCCUGUACUUCCUUACCCUAUCUAUGCUUGCCUGUUUAUAUUUGUUGCAGGACUGAGGCAAACUUAUAGAUAGAUAUACUGGCGAGUGUGUGUUGAGUCAGGAGUUAGGAAGCCGUACUGAGAGACUUUAAAAUCAUAUAUAACCGUUUUUCUUUCUUCAUCCAACAUCAUAAGGGAAAAUACAGAUGCUAAAUGAAGAAGAAGAAGAAGAAGAAGAUGAUGA
Eriocheir sinensis (Chinese mitten crab) is the source of this 1908-nucleotide long non-coding RNA. RefSeq lists it as uncharacterized. Lineage: Eukaryota; Metazoa; Arthropoda; Malacostraca; Decapoda; Varunidae. The record is from RefSeq and is a predicted model, not a curated record. The transcript has 2 exons.